Molecule: transfer RNA, 76 nt
Filed under: Halorhodospira halochloris
Lineage: Bacteria; Pseudomonadati; Pseudomonadota; Gammaproteobacteria; Chromatiales; Ectothiorhodospiraceae
Also listed under: 30 other names
Description: tRNA-Phe
Rfam family: tRNA
About the family: Transfer RNA (tRNA) molecules are approximately 80 nucleotides in length. Their secondary structure includes four short double-helical elements and three loops (D, anti-codon, and T loops).
Source: RNAcentral
GGCCGGGUAGCUCAGUCGGUAGAGCAGGGGAUUGAAAAUCCCCGUGUCGGCGGUUCGAUUCCGUCCCCGGCCACCA